RNAcentral lists this unclassified non-coding RNA (264 nucleotides) under Hevea brasiliensis (rubber tree). Lineage: Eukaryota; Viridiplantae; Streptophyta; Magnoliopsida; Malpighiales; Euphorbiaceae. The record is from RNAcentral.
CUUUGAAUGAAUUAAAUUUUCCCUUACAGAAAAUUGUCAAUUUAUAUAUGCCAUCCUGCUAAACACCAACUGCUAGCCCUCAACAAAUGCUUUGAAAAUGUGACAAACUUUCUUCUUUGAGUGAGGGCAAUGAAAUUUCGUAAAAUCAAAACUUUGCAGUGCAUCUCUAUAGACUGGGGUGCUGAGGGGUCCUUUUUGCUUAAACAAAGUUCCCCAGCUCAGAAAACCACUAAUGCUUGUUGGUCUAAUGCUUGAGGCUGAUGG